Phasianus colchicus (ring-necked pheasant) is the source of this 1580-nucleotide long non-coding RNA. The record is from Ensembl. Lineage: Eukaryota; Metazoa; Chordata; Aves; Galliformes; Phasianidae.
GGUCCUCCAAGGAUGGGGGUUUGGGGGUCAUCCAAGAAUGGGAGUCAUCCAAGGGUGGGGGGGUCGGGAAAUUUGGGGUCCUCCAGGAACGGGGGAUGCGGGGGUCCUCCAAGGGUGGUGACAUUAGGGACACUGGGGUCCUCCCAUGGUGCUGACCCCACUGAUUUGGGGCUGAUUUGGGGUUGUUUUGGGGAGCAGUUUUACCGUUGGUUCUUGAGUUGGUUUUAGGGUGGCUUUGGGGUGAUUUGGGGUUGUUUGGAAGCGGUUUUGGGGUGGUUUUGGGGUGGUUAUAGGGUGACUUUGGCACUUCGAGGCUGUUUUGGGGCCAGCUGUGGGUGUUUGGGGGCCGUUUUAGGGACUCUUCGCCCCCCCCCCCCUUGCAGCAGUUCUUAGGGUCAAGCGCUCACCCCACACCUCCGAUCCCAUUGGGGUCGGGGGGGAGAAAUUAAGGCACGGCCCUAUAUGGCCCUGCAAUGCACCCUAUGGCCGAUAGGGGGCGCUCGGCGUCCAUAUGGGAUGCAGGGAGCAGGAUAUAGGAUGCAAUGUGCGGGAUAUGGGGUAUGGGGUAUGGGGUAUGGGAUAUAGGAUAUGGGAUAUAGGAUAUGGGAUAUAGGAUAUGGGAUAUAGGGUGCAGCACAGAGGGCUUAAGAGUGGGGUGGAUUUGGGGGAUGCUGUGUGCCACCCCUCCGGCCCUAUAGGGUGGUCCCUAAGGAGCACCAUACUCCAUCCCAUAUAGGGCAAUACCCCAUCCUCUAUGGGAACCAAUCCCCUACCCCGACCCCACCCCAAAUAGGAUUGUGUCCCAUCCAUACCCCACUCCAUAGAGGACAAUACCCCAUCCCUUACCCCAUCCCAUAUAGGGAGGAUGCCUCAUCCCAUAUGGGACACAAUCCCCUUCCCCAACCCCAUAUAGGACCACACCCCACCCUUUACCCCACCCCAUAUGGGAUCAUCCCCCACCCUUUACUUUAUCCCAUAUGGGGCCUGUACCCCAUCCAUACCCCACCCCAUAUGAAGGGGAUGCCCCAUCUGUAACCCCACCCCAUAUAGGACCGCACCCCAUAUGGGACCGCACCCCAUUCAUACCCCACCCCAUCCCUUACCCCAUCCCAUAUAGGGGAGAUGUCCCACCCCAUAUAGGGCCAUGCCCCACCCCAUAUAGGGGAGAUGCUCCACCCCAUAUAGGGGGGGAAGCCUCAUCCCAUAUAGGACCAUACCCCAAACCAUAUAGGGGAGAUGCCUCAUCCCAUAUAGGAUCAUACCCCACCCCAUAUAGGACCACACCCCACCCCAUAUAGGGGAGAAGCCUCAUCCCAUAUAGGACUAUACCCCACCCCAUAUAGGGGAGAAGCCUCAUCCCAUAUAGGGGAGAUGCCUCAUCCCAUAUAAAACCGUACCCCACCCCAUAUAGGACCAUAUGCCACCCCAUAUAGGGGGGAAGCUUUAUCCCAUAUAGGACCAUGCCCCAUCCCAUAUAGGGGGGAAGCCUCAUCCCAUAUAGGAUCAUACCCCAUCCCAUAUAGGGGAGAUGUCCCACCCCAUAUAGGACCGUACCCAACUCCAUAUAGGACCAUAGCGCA